CCCAUCCAAUCCUUUAGAGCCUUCAUUCCAACCUUACCAUCUUCAAAUUGACAGUCUCUCCUCACACCUCUUUCCUGUCACAUCUACUGGUUUUUCUUCUUAAUGUUUUUAUAUUCUUUCACCUAAUUAAUUCUAUUUAUUCUUAGAAAUUCACUUCAGACAUCGCUUCCUUCUAGAAACCUCCCUGGACUUGGACCCAGUGUGAAGGAAUGUGUCAAGGACCGGGAUCCCCUUCUGCUUACCUUCCAGCAUUUUCAUUCACUAUUUGCAGUUAAAACUAUAUGACAAUUGUUUCACUUCUUUGAACCACAUGUCCAUUUGCCUAUCCUCACACCUUCACAUAAUCAAACUAUAAAUUCUUUGAGGUCAGGGACACUGGCCACCAAUUCUUUACAUGUAAAUUAAACCUAGUGCAGUUUCGUGCAAAUGGUAGAUGUUCAGUAAGUGGUGUUUACAUAGACAAAUGAAGUUAUUUGGUUAAUUUUUGACUAUAUACACUACCCCCCUCCCUUUUCUAUGUGUCUUUUCCCACCAGAGUUUUUCAAGGUUUUUAAUGACUGGCUACAUUAGCAAAAAUAAUUUGAUGUCACUUUCUACUUUAUUUGGCCAAUUCUUCAAAGGAGCAUCAAGGGACAGGGAGAAGCUAAAAGAGAGAAAGAGAGUAAAGGGAAAUUCAGGAGUGUCUAAUUCCAAGCUCCUAUGUUCUACUGAAUUGUGGACUAUUCUCUAAGGAGAAAGUAAGUAUAAACAGAGUGAGUAUACUUUCUCUGCACACCUACAAGGACAAAACAAAAUGCAGUAAGUGUUAAGUACAGAGAUAGAAGUACGUGACUCAUGGAUGGCCAUCCUCUUCCCAUACCAAGUACAGAUUUAGCCUAUGACCAUGAUAAGCUUAUCAAUAUGAGGUAGCCCUGAAGAAUGGAUAAAUAUGCCAUCUAAAGAAUUGAAGCUAUCAAAACAUCUGGUUUUACAAAAGUUAAUGUCUCUCCAUUUCUUUAAGUGAAGAUUUAUUACAAUUAAGCUAAUGGACAUUUUGAAAUAGAAAGCAAAUUUCAGAAAUAAAACAUCAAAAUACAUGUUGCCUAUUGACA
This 1091-nucleotide long non-coding RNA is filed under the name Felis catus (domestic cat). RNAcentral's name for it is "lncRNA (ENSFCAG00000051675.1)". The record is from RNAcentral. Lineage: Eukaryota; Metazoa; Chordata; Mammalia; Carnivora; Felidae.